UACGGAGGGGGCUAGCGUUGUUCGGAAUUACUGGGCGUAAAGCGCGCGUAGGCGGACCUGCAAGUCGGGGGUGAAAGCCCGAGGCUCAACCUCGGAACUGCCUUCGAUACUGCGGGUCUCGAGUCCGGGAGAGGUGAGUGGAAUUCCUAGUGUAGAGGUGAAAUUCGUAGAUAUUCGGAAGAACAUCAGUGGCGAAGGCGGCUCACUGGACUGGUAUUGACGCUGAGGUGCGAAAGCGUGGGGAGCAAACAGG
RNAcentral lists this ribosomal RNA (253 nucleotides) under uncultured bacterium. Its description in RNAcentral is "partial 16S ribosomal RNA". It matches the Rfam family "Bacterial small subunit ribosomal RNA", at positions 524 to 776 of the family's 1533-position model. The record is from RNAcentral.